Molecule: long non-coding RNA, 199 nt
Filed under: Elaeis guineensis (African oil palm)
Lineage: Eukaryota; Viridiplantae; Streptophyta; Magnoliopsida; Arecales; Arecaceae
Description: long non-coding RNA (EGUI_LNC023021)
Source: RNAcentral
GGGGCAUUCGAUCGUCUUACCGAAGCUUCUGACUCACACCUCCCAUCCUGGCCUCUCUUGCUACUACUUCUAUAAUCAUUUCCAUUCCCAGCGCUUCACUUAUAGCUCUCUGGGCAACUUUGGUUGCAUCUUCCCUGGCUCGCACAGUCGAUGAUCAUGGAUGUUUAGGUUCCUCGAGCCGCAUACAUGUUCGAUCUCU